CAGCCGCCGCGGGAAUACAGAGGGUGCAAGCGUUAAUCGGAAUUACUGGGCGUAAAGCGCGCGUAGUUGGUUUGUUAAGUUGGAUGUGAAAGCCCCGGGCUCAACCUGGGAACUGCAUCCAAAACUGGCAAGCUAGAGUACGGUAGAGGGUGGUGGAAUUUCCUGUGUAGCGGUGAAAUGCGUAGAUAUAGGAAGGAACACCAGUGGCGAAGGCGACCACCUGGACUGAUACUGACACUGAGGUGCGAAAGCGUGGGGAGCAAACAGGAUUAGAUACCCCAGUAGUCCCUGUCUCUUAUAU
Molecule: ribosomal RNA, 301 nt
Filed under: uncultured bacterium
Lineage: Bacteria
Description: partial 16S ribosomal RNA
Rfam family: Bacterial small subunit ribosomal RNA
Source: RNAcentral